Molecule: long non-coding RNA, 576 nt
Organism: Chelonoidis abingdonii (Abingdon island giant tortoise)
Lineage: Eukaryota; Metazoa; Chordata; Testudines; Testudinidae
Source: RefSeq, a predicted model, not a curated record
CUUAUCUGGAGGAGCUGCCAAGCCUACCGCUCGCCGGGUACCCUGAGGAGCCCAUGGUGCUUGAUUCCGUGGAGGACACCGUUCAAACGCAGGCAGCCUGUGACUUGCUACAGAGAAUAAUACGCAUCUUGUAUCUAAGUAAGAGACUUCAAGAACAGCUGCAAGGAGGAAGCAGAGAGAUAACAAAAGCUGCCCAGAGUUUCAAUGAACUUGACUUCUGUUCUGAAAGGGCUUUGACAAGUGCUUGCACAAGAGGUUGCGGUAUGGUCAUUGGGUGAAAAGCAAAGGAUUGUCAUCAGUCAAAAACUGGGUAAGAGACAGAAGGCUACUGAUAGGAUUAAAUGGUUAAUUUUCAAAAUAGUGAAAGGUUAACAACAGGAUACCCCUACAUUCUCAGCUAGGUCUGGAAGGGGGAGGAGGCGUCGAGUAGUGGGGUAAUAAUUUAGAUUAUAGUUACUUAAAUUAGUCAGGACCAGAGAGGACCGUGAGAAACUUCACAAGCUAGGUGAAUGGUCGGUGUGAUGGCUGACAAAGUUCACUGUUGAUGAUAAAUGCAAAGUAAUGCACAUUGGAGGG